UCGUUUGUAGUUAAGUGGUAGAAUUCUUGCCUUCCAUGUGAGAGAUCUGGGUUUGAUUCCUGGCCAAUGCA
RNAcentral lists this transfer RNA (71 nucleotides) under Loxodonta africana (African savanna elephant). It matches the Rfam family "tRNA". Rfam says of the family: Transfer RNA (tRNA) molecules are approximately 80 nucleotides in length. Their secondary structure includes four short double-helical elements and three loops (D, anti-codon, and T loops). Further hydrogen bonds mediate the characteristic L-shaped molecular structure. tRNAs have two regions of fundamental functional importance: the anti-codon, which is responsible for specific mRNA codon recognition, and the 3' end, to which the tRNAs corresponding amino acid is attached (by aminoacyl-tRNA synthetases). tRNAs cope with the degeneracy of the genetic code in two manners: having more than one tRNA (with a specific anti-codon) for a particular amino acid; and 'wobble' base-pairing, i.e. permitting non-standard base-pairing at the 3rd anti-codon position. Lineage: Eukaryota; Metazoa; Chordata; Mammalia; Proboscidea; Elephantidae. The record is from Rfam by way of RNAcentral.